RNAcentral lists this ribosomal RNA (253 nucleotides) under uncultured bacterium. Its description in RNAcentral is "partial 16S ribosomal RNA". It matches the Rfam family "Bacterial small subunit ribosomal RNA", at positions 524 to 776 of the family's 1533-position model. The record is from RNAcentral.
UACGUAGGGGGCAAGCGUUGUCCGGAUUUAUUGGGCGUAAAGGGCGUGUAGGCGUCUAGGGAGGUCCGUUGUAAAAACUCGAGGCUCAACCUCGAGACGCCGAUGGAAACCAUCUAGCUAGAGUCCGGAAGAGGAGAGUGGAAUUCCUGGUGUAGCGGUGAAAUGCGCAGAUAUCAGGAGGAACACCGGUGGCGAAGGCGGGUCUCUGGGCCGAUACUGACGCUGAGGAGCGAAAGCGUGGGGAGCAAACGGG